Molecule: ribosomal RNA, 216 nt
Filed under: uncultured bacterium
Lineage: Bacteria
Description: partial 16S ribosomal RNA
Rfam family: Bacterial small subunit ribosomal RNA
Source: RNAcentral
UCGGCGGGGAUAACCUUCCGAAAGGAGGGCUAAUACCGCAUAAGACCACGAUCUCGAAAGGGAAUGUGGUCAAAGCAGGCCUCUGCACGCAAGCUUGCACCUGAGGAUUGGCCCGCGGCCCAUCAGCUAGUUGGUAGGGUAACGGCCUACCAAGGCAAAGACGGGUAGCUGGUCUGAGAGGAUGAUCAGCCACACUGGAACUGAGACACGGUCCAG